This 496-nucleotide ribosomal RNA is filed under the name uncultured bacterium. RNAcentral's name for it is "partial 16S ribosomal RNA". It matches the Rfam family "Bacterial small subunit ribosomal RNA", at positions 29 to 507 of the family's 1533-position model. The record is from RNAcentral.
AUGCACGCUGGCGGCGUGCCUAAUACAUGCAAGUCGAGCGAACGGACGAGAAGCUUGCUUCUCUGAUGUUAGCGGCGGACGGGUGAGUAACACGUGGAUAACCUACCUAUAAGACUGGGAUAACUUCGGGAAACCGGAGCUAAUACCGGAUGAUAUUUUGAACCGCAUGGUUCAAAAGUGAAAGACGGUCUUGCUGUCACUUAUAGAUGGAUCCGCGCUGCAUUAGCUAGUUGGUAAGGUAACGGCUUACCAAGGCAACGAUGCAUAGCCGACCUGAGAGGGUGAUCGGCCACACUGGAACUGAGACACGGUCCAGACUCCUACGGGAGGCAGCAGUAGGGAAUCUUCCGCAAUGGGCGAAAGCCUGACGGAGCAACGCCGCGUGAGUGAUGAAGGUCUUCGGAUCGUAAAACUCUGUUAUUAGGGAAGAACAUAUGUGUAAGUAACUGUGCACAUCCUGACGGUACCUAAUCAGAAAGCCACGGCUAACUACGUG